RNAcentral lists this long non-coding RNA (1344 nucleotides) under Junco hyemalis (dark-eyed junco). RNAcentral describes it as "lncRNA (ENSJHYG00000009969.1)". The record is from RNAcentral. Lineage: Eukaryota; Metazoa; Chordata; Aves; Passeriformes; Passerellidae.
NNNNNNNNNNNNNNNNNNNNNNNNNNNNNNNNNNNUGCACAGCCAUCCCUGGGCUUUGGAAUGUCAGAACAUCCACAGAGCUCCCCUGCAGCCCUGCUCAGCCACCCCCAGCCCAUCCCCAUCCCCACAGCCUCCCCAGUGCCGUUUUCCCCGAGCAGGGAGCGGAUUUGGGGCUGAGUUUCCAUCUGCCCAAGGGCAGGAGCCGCCUCUCCGCGAUCCCUGAAAUGGCAGCGAAACCAUCACGUGGUGCCCGAGCUGAACCGGGAGCGCGGAGCCGGGAGGGGGAGCUGUUCCCGCACAUUCCGGGAUCCCGGAGUGUUCCUGCAUCUUCCCGGGGUGUUCCCGCAUCUUCCCGGGGUGUUCCUGCACCUUCCCGGGAUCCCGGGCUGUUCCUGCACCUUCCUGGGGUGUUCCUGCACCUUCCCGGGGUGUUCCUGCACCUUCCCGGGGUGUUCCUGCAUCUUCCUGGGGUGUUCCUGCACCUUCCCGGGGUGUUCCUGCAUCUUCCCGGGGUGUUCCCGCAUCUUCCCGGGACCCCGGGCUGCUCCCGCACCUUCCACAGAUCCCGAGCUGGGGAAUACCGGGCUGGUCCCGAAUCCUCAGGGAUGGCGGGCUGCUCCUGCAUCUCCCGGGAAUCCCGGGCUGCUCCCGCAUACCCCCGGGAGUUCCCACAUGUUCCCGGUAUCCUCGGCUGUUCCCGCAUCUUCCCGGGAUCCCGGGCUGGGGAAUACCGGGCUGCUCCCGAAUCUUCGGGGAUCGCGGGCUGCUCCUGCAUCUCCCGGGAAUCCCGAGCUGUUCCCGCAUCUUCCCGGGAUCUCGGGCUCUGGGAAUGCCGGGCCGUUCCCGCAUCUUCCCGGGAUCCCAAGCUGUUCCUGCACGAUCCAGGGAUCCCGAGCUGUUCCCGCACCUUCCCGGGGAUCCCGGGUUGUUCCCGCAUGUCCCACGGAUCCCGGGCUCUGGGAAUGCGAGGCUGGUUCCACUUGUCCCACAGAUCCCGGGCUGUUCCUUCAUGUUCCACGGAUCCUGGGCUGGUCCCGCACGAUCCAGGGAUCCCGGGCUGUUCCCAAUGUCCCAUGCAUCCCGAGCUCCGGGAAUGCUGGGCUAGUCCCACAUCUCCCACAGAUACUGGGCUGCUCCUGAACCUUCCAGGGAUUCCAGACUCUUCCCUCAUGUUCCAAGGACCCCGGGCUCUGGGAAUGCCGGGCUGGUUCCAAUAUCCCAGGGAUCCCGGGCUGUUCCCGAUGUCCCAGGGAUCCAGGGCUCUGGGAAAGCCGGGCUGCUCCUGCACCUUCCAGGGAUCCCGAAAUGCUCCUGCACCUUCCAGGGAUUCCAGGCUCAGGGAAU